UAUACUGUGAAACUGCGAAUGGCUCAUUAAAUCAGUUAUAGUUUAUUUGAUGGUUCCUUACUACUUGGAUAACCGUAGUAAUUCUAGAGCUAAUACAUGCAGAAAGUCCCGACUUCUGGAAGGGAUGUAUUUAUUAGAUCCAAAACCAGCGCGAGUUGCCCCCGGGUGGCUCGGUUGCUUGGUGAUUCAUGAUAACUGCUCGAAUCGCAUGGCCUUGUGCCGGCGAUGAUCCAUUCAAAUUUCUGCCCUAUCAACUUUCGAUGGCAAGGUAGUGGCUUGCCAUGGUGACAACGGGUGACGGAGAAUUAGGGUUCGAUUCCGGAGAGGGAGCCUGAGAAACGGCUACCACAUCCAAGGAAGGCAGCAGGCGCGCAAAUUACCCAAUCCCGACUCGGGGAGGUAGUGACAAUAAAUAACAAUUCAAGACUCGAAACGAGGCCUUGAAGUUGGAAUGAGUACACUUUAAAACUUUUAACGAGUAUCUAUUGGAGGGCAAGUCUGGUGCCAGCAGCCGCGGUAAUUCCAGCUCCAAUAGCGUAUACUAAAGUUGUUGCGGUUAAAAAGCUCGUAGUUGGAUCUUGGAGUGUGAGUGAAUGGUCGAUCGAAAGAUUGUACUGUUCGGCACACUCUUCUCUUCGGUUGCGUGUGUAGUGCCCUUAACUGAGUGCUGCACUCGACCGGAAUUUUUACCUUGAAAAAAUUAGAGUGUUCAAAGCAGACCUGAUUAUGUCUGAAUAUUCGUGCAUGGAAUAAUAAAAU
This 759-nucleotide ribosomal RNA is filed under the name Axinella sp. ITN-001. RNAcentral's name for it is "bacterial SSU rRNA". It matches the Rfam family "Eukaryotic small subunit ribosomal RNA", at positions 75 to 823 of the family's 1831-position model. Lineage: Eukaryota; Metazoa; Porifera; Demospongiae; Axinellida; Axinellidae. The record is from RNAcentral.